This is an RNA transcript of Carya illinoinensis, 958 nucleotides long. It is a transcript of the gene named 50S ribosomal protein L9, chloroplastic, with no coding region annotated. The transcript is spliced from 7 exons. NCBI's taxonomy places the organism in Eukaryota, Viridiplantae, Streptophyta, Magnoliopsida, Fagales, Juglandaceae. The record is from RefSeq and is a predicted model, not a curated record.
UCCCCGGUCUUGUCUGUGUGUAACAAAGGGGAUAAGAUCAUAAACACCAAUUGGAGACAGAGAAGGACGGGCGACAAUGGCAUCCACGGCUUCGGCUCUAUCGUGGAGUUCUUCUUCGUGGUUGCAUAGCUUCGGAGGAAACUUGAAUGAAGCCACUAAACUACCGAACAGAAGAACACCCUUGGUGGUUUUGGCUCAGAAGAAAGCCACCAAGACCCGCAAGAUAAUAUUGAAGGAAGACGUGACAGACCUGGGAAAGAAGGGGCAGCUGCUUGACGUGAAGGCUGGGUUUUACAGAAAUUAUCUACUACCCAUGGGCAAGGCUCAGAUUGUCACUGCCAGUCUGCUCAAGGAAAUGCGAAUGGAAGAGGAGAGAAUUGAGGCUGAGAAAAAACGGGUAAAAGAUGAGGCACAACAACUUGCUCUGAUCUUUGAAACGGUUGGAGCUUUUAAGGUAAAGCGCAAAGGCGGGAAGGGGAAACAAAUAUUUGGAAGUGUUACUGCUCAGGAUCUUGUUGACAUAAUUAAGGCUCAACUUCAGAGGGACGUGGACAAGCGAAUUGUUUCUCUUCCUGAAAUCCGGGAAACGGGAGAAUACAUUGCGGAGCUGAGACUUCACCCAGAAGUAACUGCUCGAGUGAGGUUAAAUGUGUUUGCCAACUAAGAAGGACCCAUUUAUGCCCCAGCCUCUGGAUAGAACAGUUGUGCUAGCAGCUUGCACAUUGGAGCUCAUGGGAGUAGACUUGGCACUGAUUCAGGAUGUCAUGCUAUUCUGCUGCGGUGAAAGUGUUCCAGACAGCGGGACCUGAUCUCUAGUUUGACUUCAAUAUUACUUAUUCAUGAAAUAAAGAAGUUUUAGUAUAUUGGAGAUUUGAAAUAAUUUUAUAUUGAUCCCCAUAAUUAGACUUGUCCAGCUUGCAUGACUGAAUCUUUUCCAACUAUGUAGAUUAUUUUUGUC